AUAUAUAAUAAGCCACCCUGAACAAGCCCGAUAUCUGAUCUGGGAAGCUAAGCAGGGUUGGGCCUGGUUAGUACUUGGAUGGGAGACCACCUAGGAAGACCAGGUGCUGUAGAUG
Molecule: ribosomal RNA, 115 nt
Filed under: Pteropus alecto (black flying fox)
Lineage: Eukaryota; Metazoa; Chordata; Mammalia; Chiroptera; Pteropodidae
Source: RNAcentral